UAGGGAAUCUUCGGCAAUGGGGGGAACCCUGACCGAGCAACGCCGCGUGAGUGAAGAAGGUUUUCGGAUCGUAAAGCUCUGUUGUUAAGGAAGUACGAGUGUGAGAAUGGAAAGUUCAUGCUGUGACGGUACUUAACCAGAAAGGGACGGCUAACUACGUGCCAGCAGCCGCGGUAAUACGUAGGUCCCGAGCGUUGUCCGGAUUUAUUGGGCGUAAAGCGAGCGCAGGCGGUUAGAAAAGUCUGAAGUGAAAGGCAGUGGCUCAACCAUUGUAGGCUUUGGAAACUGUUUAACUUGAGUGCAGAAGGGGAGAGUGGAAUUCCAUGUGUAGCGGUGAAAUGCGUAGAUAUAUGGAGGAACACCGGUGGCGAAAGCGGCUCUCUGGUCUGUAACUGACGCUGAGGCUCGAAAGCGUGGGGAGCGAACAGG
Molecule: ribosomal RNA, 429 nt
Filed under: Bacteroidota bacterium
Lineage: Bacteria; Pseudomonadati; Bacteroidota
Description: Bacteroidetes bacterium partial 16S ribosomal RNA
Rfam family: Bacterial small subunit ribosomal RNA
Source: RNAcentral